RNAcentral lists this ribosomal RNA (511 nucleotides) under uncultured bacterium. RNAcentral's name for it is "partial 16S ribosomal RNA". It matches the Rfam family "Bacterial small subunit ribosomal RNA", at positions 28 to 523 of the family's 1533-position model. The record is from RNAcentral.
GACGAACGCUGGCGGCGUGCCUAAUACAUGCAAGUAGAACGCUGAAGGAGGAGCUUACUUCUCUGGAUGAGUUGCGAACGGGUGAGUAACGCGUAGGUAACCUGCCUGGUAGCGGGGGAUAACUAUUGGAAACGAUAGCUAAUACCGCAUAAGAGUAGAUGUUGCAUGACAUUUACUUAAAAGGUUCAAUUGCACCCCUACCAGAUGGACAUGCGUUGUAUUAGCUAGUUGGUGGGGUAACGGCUUACCAAGACGACGAUACAUAGCCGACCGGAAGGGGUGAUCGGCCACACUGAGACUGAGACGCGGCCCAAACUCCUACGGGAGGCAGCAGUAGGGAAUCUUCGGCAAUGGACGGAAGUCUGACCGAGCAACGCCGCGUGAGUGAAGAAGGUUUUCGGAUCGUAAAGCUCUGUUGUAAGAGAAGAACGAGUGUGAGAGUGGAAAGUUCACACUGUGACGGUAUCUUACCAGAAAGGGACGGCUAACUACGUGCCAGCCGCCGCGGUAA